AUGGUGGAUACCCCAAAAGAGAGCGAUAACGAGGACCAACGGGCCGCGGCAGAAGAUAACCCCACCGAUAAACAACCAAAACGGCGGCGCAGACGCCGCCCUAAGUCCCGUCUCGACAACAACAACGCUCCUAAGGAGCCCGUAAUACAGCAGGGCUCACAAGUGGACGACGAACAUGCAGAUAAGCAACCGUCCGAACACGACGAGUCAGAUAAUCAGUCCAGGCCCGGCGAAAACGACAGUCCGGACGAUCUCAUGCCGGACACGCCGCCGGAGAGCAAAAACCUUCGGAAAAGACUCGUCAACACUGCAAGAAGCCUGAAGAAGGAAAAGCGGAAGCUCAAAACAGCGGAAGACACACUCAGAAUGAGAUGGAGCAAAGUGCUCAAAACCGCCGAUAAAUACGGCAAUGGUCACCAAUCAAAGAACUACCCGAAGCGCAAGCUGCUACCAGAAUUCGACGAGGAGGCCAUAGAGCCUCCACCGUCAAAAAAUAAAGAGGUUGCCUGGUUGGAUAGACGGCCAGAUGAUAGGCCAAAUUCUGAAAGCGGCGCCGCACAUAAACCAACUAAUGAACCUGGAAAGACAGAUGGCCCAGCCAGGUCCAUCUACGGGCCAAAGAAGAAGGCCCCAGGAAGCAAGGCAACACGUCAAAUGUCCGAAGAUAGUGGCACACCCAAAUACAGGGGCGCCGCACACCCACUAUGUUUCACCGAUGAGGUGCUGGACCAUGAAUUCCAAGCAGGAUUUAAACCCAUAAACAUAGAGGCCUACGAUGGAACAACAAACCCUGGAGUCUGGAUAGAAGAUUACAUACUACAUAUACACAUGGCCAGAGGAGAUGAUCUCCACGCCAUAAAAUACCUACCCCUCAAGCUCAAAGGGCCAGCCCGUCAUUGGCUUAAAAGCCUCCCAGAAAACACUGUGGGAAGUUGGGAAGAGCUCGAGGAAGCGUUUAGAGCAAAUUUUCAAGGGACCUAUGUCCGCCCUCCGGAUGCAGAUGAUUUAAGUCAUAUAACUCAACAGCCCGGAGAGUCAGCGCGCAAAUUCUGGAACAGGUUCCUCACCAAAAAGAACCAAAUAGUCGACUGUCCGGACGCCGAAGCCUUAGCAGCUUUU
Molecule: ribosomal RNA, 1119 nt
Filed under: Triticum aestivum (bread wheat)
Lineage: Eukaryota; Viridiplantae; Streptophyta; Magnoliopsida; Poales; Poaceae
Description: partial small subunit ribosomal RNA
Source: RNAcentral